AAAAAACAAUAUUGCUUGCUGUUUUUUUCUCUUUGGACUCCUUGAGUCCGUUUUUCAGGUGUUCGUGGAGAGUUUGGCGCGCGUGGAGGCCGAAACGUGCGGCGAUCGGGCGUUGGGCGCGGCGUCGGUGCUGUUGCGGCGCUGAGGCAGAUGCGGCUAGGGUUUUCCUCUUUUGUUUUUUUUGUGUUUUGGGCUGAUGUCUGUGUUGGGCUUAGGUUAGUUUUGUUAUUGGGCCAUUUAUUUGUUGGGCCUUUGACGAGUUUAGGCCUGCUAUUAAAAAACUGAAAUUGCC
RNAcentral lists this long non-coding RNA (292 nucleotides) under Gossypium raimondii (Peruvian cotton). Its description in RNAcentral is "long non-coding RNA (GRAI_LNC008750)". The record is from RNAcentral. Lineage: Eukaryota; Viridiplantae; Streptophyta; Magnoliopsida; Malvales; Malvaceae.